RNAcentral lists this ribosomal RNA (1471 nucleotides) under uncultured Bordetella sp. RNAcentral describes it as "partial 16S-23S ribosomal RNA intergenic spacer". It matches the Rfam family "Bacterial small subunit ribosomal RNA". The record is from RNAcentral. Lineage: Bacteria; Pseudomonadati; Pseudomonadota; Betaproteobacteria; Burkholderiales; Alcaligenaceae.
GGUUUGAUCCUGGCUCAGAUUGAACGCUGGCGGGAUGCUUUACACAUGCAAGUCGAACGGCAGCACGGACUUCGGUCUGGUGGCGAUGUGGCGAACGGGUGAGUAAUGUAUCGGAACGUGCCUAGUAGCGGGGGAUAACUACGCGAAAGCGUAGCUAAUACGCCGCCCCUUCGGGGAAAAGCGGGGACCUUCGGGCCUCGCACUAUUAGAGCGGCCGAUAUCGGAUUAGCUAGUUGGUGGGGUAACGGCUCGCAAGGCGACGAUCCGUAGCUGGUUUGAGAGGACGACCAGCCACACUGGGACUGAGACACGGCCGGAGCUCCACCACAGGAGGCAGCAGUGUGGAAUUUUGGACGUGGGGAAACCUGAUCCAGCCAUCCCGCGUGUGCGAUGAAGGCCUUCGGGUUGUAAAGCACUUUUGGCAGGAAAGAAACGGCACGGGAUAAUACCCCGUGCAACUGACGGUACCUGCAGAAUAAGCACCGGCUAACUACGUGCCAACAGCCCGCGGUAAUACGUAGGGUGCAAGCGUUAAUCGGAAUUACUGGGAGUAAAGCGUGCGCGAGCGGUUCGGAAGAAGAUGUGAAAUCCCAGAGCUUAACUUUGGAACUGCAUUUUUAACUACCGAGCUAGAGUGUCAGAGGGAGGUGGAAUUCCGCGUCUUGGCAGUGAAAUGCGUAGAUAUGCGGAGAACACCGAUGGCGAAGGCAGCCUCCUGGGAUAACACUGACGCUCAUGCACGAAAAGCGUGGGGAGCAAACAGGAUUAGAUGCCCUGGUAGUCCAUACAAACGAUGUCAACUAGCUGUUGGGGCCUUCGGGCCUUGGUAGCGCAGCUAACGCGUGAAGUUGACCGCCUGGGAAGUACGGUCGCAAGAUUAAAACUCAAAGGAAUUGACGGGGACCCGCACAAGCGGUGGAUGAUGUGGAUUAAUUCGAUGCAACGCGAAAAACCUUACCACCCAUGACAUGUCUGGAAUCCCGAAGAGAUUUGGGAGUGCUCGCAAAGAGAACCGGAACACAGGUGCUGCAUGGCUGUCGUCAGCUCGUGUCGUGAGAUGUUGGGUUAAGUCCCGCAACGAGCGCAACCCUUGUCAUUAGUUGCUGAAAGGGCACUCUAAUGAGACUGCCGGUGACAAACCGGAGGAAGGUGGGGAUGACGUCAAGUCCUCAUGGCCCUUAUGGGUAGGGCUUCACACGUCAUACAAUGGUCGAGACAGAGGGUCGCCAACCCGCGAGGGGAGCCAAUCCCGAAACCCGAUCGUAGUCCGGAUCGCAGUCUGCAACUCGACUGCGUGAAGUCGGAAUCGCUAGUAAUCGCGGAUCAGCAUGUCGCGGUGAAUACGUUCCCGGGUCUUGUACACACCGCCCGUCACACCAUGGGAGUGGGUUUUACCAGAAGCAGUAGCCUAACCGUAAGGAGGCGAUUACCACGGUAGGAUUCAUGACUGGGGUGAAGUGUAACAAGGUAA